GUAGCCGGAGGCACCAAGAAACAUAAAAAAUCUGAAGGUCCCUCUGAUGUCCCCGACAAAACACGGACGCCGUGCAGAACUCCCCUAACGGAAUGCACGUUAUGGGGGAGCGGCGGGGGAGCACGGAAAACAGAAACAGGCGAAAGAACCCAGUAGGUAUUAAACGGGAAGCAGCGUUGACUGAUGCUAGGACGGCAUCGACUAUGUGGUUUUGCAUGAGUCCAAUGCGAUACAUCUGUCGUCUGUGACGCCGAUGAAAAAUGCAUCGAUUCGAAGAUGUGUCGUAUGAGCCACCACUUCUAGCCCUUUAUGCACACAGCUAUACCACACAAAGAACUUCUACAGCUUGUAAGGCAAAGCUCUGAAGAUCCGUUUCUGCGCGAGCUGUUCCGUCAGAGUGCCAACCGCCGUCGUGCAACAUCAGCCAUUUUGGGAGCUCGACUUGUGUUGACUGAGAUAUGAUCACUCUCAUGUUCUUUCCUUUGUUUGUGGUGCUUAACUUGAAUAGUCUAUUCCUUUCGUGGUGGUAAUAACUCGUGGUGCUGGCGUGAUUCGGCAGUCAAUUCGACUGCAUGUUUUGCGCUGUUGGCUUUUGCUGAGGACGUUCAAGCAACCCAAGAGCAACGGAG
Molecule: long non-coding RNA, 629 nt
Filed under: Toxoplasma gondii VEG
Lineage: Eukaryota; Apicomplexa; Conoidasida; Eucoccidiorida; Sarcocystidae
Source: RNAcentral